Non-coding RNA from Microcebus murinus (gray mouse lemur), 1607 nucleotides. The record is from RefSeq and is a predicted model, not a curated record. NCBI's taxonomy places the organism in Eukaryota, Metazoa, Chordata, Mammalia, Primates, Cheirogaleidae.
UGUCCUGGGCUCAAGUGAUCCUCUUGCCUCAGCCUCCCAAGUAGCUAGGACUACAGGUGUACACCACUGUACCUGGUCCAGAUUUUGGAUUCUGAUUGUUGAGUUACAAUGUUAGUGAUUAUAAUAGUUUCCUAUGGCUGCUAUAGUAAACUACCACAAAUUUAGUGGAUUAAAGCAAUAUAUUCUCUCACAGUUCUCAAAGUCAGAAGCCCCAAAUCAGUUUUACUGGCUAGAAUCAGGUUCCUAGUUCCUUCUAGAACUCCAGGGAAGAAUUCUUUCAUUGUCUCUUCCAUCUUCUGGUGGUUACCAGCAUUAAAGAAUGCUUGUGGCUGCUUCAUUCCAGUCCUUCUGUUAUCAGGGGUUGCUGGAGGAAACAGAACAAAAUGGAGAGAGUAGCUUUUCAGCUGACCUGCUGCCCCUAACCAGAGUUGUUGCCAGAAUUGGAAGAAAUUAUCUUAUUUUGUUUUUUGAAUGUGGGAGCUUUUUGAGACAUGUCGAACACCACUUGAUGGAAUCAAAAGCCGUGUUUUACAAUGAGACUAAUACUGUUUGUGAGGACCUUUAACCAAAGCAUUAACAUUGAAGAUUUAAAAAUAAAACAAAAACACCAGCAAACAAAGGCCACGGGAAUUAAUGACUCUUCAGAAUUCCCACAGUUAGAUAGCUGUAGAGUUGGGGCCUCAACUCCCCGAAAAGCAUGGAAGUUAAUGUAGAGGAGAUACAGCCAGGAGAAAAGAUCAUCUGAUGGUCCUGAGAAACCAGCAUCCCCUCCCUGUGACUUCUCAGUAUACCAGCAUUAUAAACAUGCACCAUCAGGUAAUCUCAAUUUUUAAAACACCCAAGUUGCAUUUUAGCCAGAUCCUGUGAUCUCAACAGUAAAAGAUGAGAUUAUUUAGUUGGACCCAGAAGUAUUUCUUGGGGCCAGAGCUUAACAUUGUAGUCAUUGUCUGAGUCUCUGGGAGCAAGUUAGAAUUUGAGAGUUGUGUGGAAUCAUUUCCUCUAUUAAAGUAUUUGGUACAGCAGCAUGUAGUACACUAACUACUCGGGAUGUCUGGGGACUUCCACAACCCUUGAUUUAUUCCCAGGGCAUAUCUUAAUGACUAUUGUGAUUUUGGCUGAUUAUAAAAGAGCCCCUUUUCCUGCUUACAAUUCUAAAUUAAAAAUAGGCCAGCCGUCAACUGGCUAAAAUCCCAUCUGCCUUUAGCUUUCACUAGCUAAUUCACAAGUAUGCCAGAAGCUUCACAAUGUACCCAUUAUUCCCCAAGGACUUCCUAUACAGUCUAGCACUAACCUGAUGACGUCUUAAGUUGGACCCAGGUGUGCUUGGUUGAGUCAGAAUUCCACAUUGCAGUUGUUACUACUUGGCCUUUGCCUUCUCUUUUUUUUGCAUCAAGUGAUUUGAUAUGAAAUAUGAAAUUUCAAAUCAUUACUCUACAAAAAUUUAUCUUUGAUAAUCUAGAUCCAGCUGAGUGAAUAAAGCAAGAAAUUAUAAACAACUCAGAUGACAUAUUUCAUGAAUGUUUUCUUACAAGGAACUUUUUGGCCAGGUAUGGUGGCUCACACCUGCAAUCCCAACACUUUGGGAGGCUGAGGUGGGAGGAUCGAGA